RNAcentral lists this ribosomal RNA (253 nucleotides) under uncultured bacterium. RNAcentral describes it as "partial 16S ribosomal RNA". It matches the Rfam family "Bacterial small subunit ribosomal RNA", at positions 524 to 776 of the family's 1533-position model. The record is from RNAcentral.
UACGAAGGGUGCAAACGUUAUUCGGAUUAAUUGGGCGUAAAGGGUACGUAGGCGGCAUGCUAAGUCAACUGUUAAAUCUCCCGGCCUAACUGGGAAUCGGCAGUAGAUACUGGCAAGCUAGAGGAUGGAAGAGAGAAGUGGAAUUCUUGGAGUAGAGGUAAAAUUCGUAGAUCUCAAGAGGAACACCGAUGGCGAAGGCAGCUUCUUGGUCCAUAUCUGACGCUCAGGUACGAAAGCGUGGGGAGCAAACAGG